RNAcentral lists this ribosomal RNA (253 nucleotides) under uncultured bacterium. Its description in RNAcentral is "partial 16S ribosomal RNA". It matches the Rfam family "Bacterial small subunit ribosomal RNA", at positions 524 to 776 of the family's 1533-position model. The record is from RNAcentral.
UACGUAGGGGGCUAGCGUUGUCCGGAAUCAUUGGGCGUAAAGCGCACGCAGGCGGUCUGCUAAGUUUGGAGUGACAGUUGGUGGCUUAACUGCCAAAGUGCUUCGAAAACUGACAGACUUGAGGGCUUCAGAGGGACACGGAAUUCCGGGUGGAGUGGUGAAAUGCGUAGAGAUCCGGAGGAACACCAAAGGCGAAGGCAGUGUCCUGGGGAGUACCUGACGCUCAGGUGCGAAAGCCAGGGGAGCGAACGGG